GUAUGGGGCGAGCGUUGUUCGGAUUUACUGGGCGUAAAGGGCUUGUAGGUGGUGGAUCAAGUCGGAUGUGAAAUCUCCGGGCUUAACCCGGAAAUUGCAUUCGAAACUGAUCCGCUAGAGUACCGGAGAGGGAAACGGAAUUCCUGGUGUAGGGGUGAAAUCUGUAGAUAUCAGGAAGAACACCGGUGGCGAAGGCGGUUUCCUGGCCGGAUACUGACACUGAGGAGCGAAAGCUAGGGGAGCAAACAGGAUUAGAUACCCUGGGUAGUCCUAGCCGUAAACGUUGUGCACUAGGUGUAAGUAGGUUUAUCUACUUGUGCCGUAGCUAACGCAUUAAGUGCACCGCCUGGGGAGUAUGCUCGCAAGGUG
RNAcentral lists this ribosomal RNA (369 nucleotides) under uncultured organism. RNAcentral describes it as "partial 16S ribosomal RNA". It matches the Rfam family "Bacterial small subunit ribosomal RNA", at positions 527 to 896 of the family's 1533-position model. The record is from RNAcentral.